GACGAACGCUGGCGGCGUGCCUAACACAUGCAAGUCGAACGGAGAUAGGUAGAAGGUUUACCGGAAACUUAUCUUAGUGGCGGACGGGCGAGUAACGCGUGAGCAACCUGCCCCAGACUGGGGGAUAACGUCGGGAAACCGGCGACUAAUACCGCAUAACACUAUGAACUUCGCAUGGAUUUAUAGUCAAAGCUCCGGCGGUUUGGGAUGGGCUCGCGUCCAAUUAGCUAGUUGGUGAGGUAACGGCCCACCAAGGCGACGAUUGGUAGCCGAACUGAGAGGUUGAUCGGCCGCAUUGGGACUGAGACACGGCCCAGACUCCUACGGGAGGCAGCAGUGGGGAAUAUUGCGCAAUGGGGGCAACCCUGACGCAGCAACGCCGCGUGAAGGAAGAAGGCCUUCGGGUUGUAAACUUCUUUGAUCGGGGACGAAGAUGACGGUACCCGAGGAACAAGCCACGGCUAACUACGUG
Molecule: ribosomal RNA, 472 nt
Filed under: uncultured bacterium
Lineage: Bacteria
Description: bacterial SSU rRNA
Rfam family: Bacterial small subunit ribosomal RNA
Source: RNAcentral